GAAAUUGGCCAUACCACCCUGAAUGCACACAGUCUCCUCUGAUCUUGGAAGCCAAGUGCAGGGUCAGAACUGGUUAGUACUUACAUGGGAGAACUUGGAUUUAGAAGUUCUUGCUUACA
Molecule: ribosomal RNA, 119 nt
Filed under: Castor canadensis (American beaver)
Lineage: Eukaryota; Metazoa; Chordata; Mammalia; Rodentia; Castoridae
Source: RNAcentral